This 491-nucleotide ribosomal RNA is filed under the name uncultured bacterium. Its description in RNAcentral is "partial 16S ribosomal RNA". It matches the Rfam family "Bacterial small subunit ribosomal RNA", at positions 29 to 506 of the family's 1533-position model. The record is from RNAcentral.
AGUGAACGCUGGCGGUAGGCCUAACACAUGCAAGUCGAACGGCAGCACAGUAAGAGCUUGCUCUUACGGGUGGCGAGUGGCGGACGGGUGAGGAAUACAUCGGAAUCUACUUUUUCGUGGGGGAUAACGUAGGGAAACUUACGCUAAUACCGCAUACGACCUACGGGUGAAAGCAGGGGAUCUUCGGACCUUGCGCGAUUGAAUGAGCCGAUGUCGGAUUAGCUAGUUGGCGGGGUAAAGGCCCACCAAGGCGACGAUCCGUAGCUGGUCUGAGAGGAUGAUCAGCCACACUGGAACUGAGACACGGUCCAGACUCCUACGGGAGGCAGCAGUGGGGAAUAUUGGACAAUGGGCGCAAGCCUGAUCCAGCCAUACCGCGUGGGUGAAGAAGGCCUUCGGGUUGUAAAGCCCUUUUGUUGGGAAAGAAAAGCAGCAGGUUAAUACCCCGCUGUUCUGACGGGACCCAAAGAAGAAGCACCGGCGAACUUCGU